This 491-nucleotide ribosomal RNA is filed under the name uncultured bacterium. Its description in RNAcentral is "partial 16S ribosomal RNA". It matches the Rfam family "Bacterial small subunit ribosomal RNA", at positions 29 to 507 of the family's 1533-position model. The record is from RNAcentral.
AGUGAACGCUGGCGGUAGGCCUAACACAUGCAAGUCGAACGGCAGCACAGUAAGAGCUUGCUCUUACGGGUGGCGAGUGGCGGACGGGUGAGGAAUACAUCGGAAUCUACUUUUUCGUGGGGGAUAACGUAGGGAAACUUACGCUAAUACCUCAUACUACCUACGGGUAAAUCAGGGGAUCUUCGGACCUUUCGCUAUUGAAUGUGCCGAUGUCGGAUUAGCUAGUUGGCGGGGUAAAGGCCCACCAAGGCGACGAUCCGUAGCUGGUCUGAGAGGAUGAUCAGCCACACUGGAACUGAGACACGGUCCAGACUCCUACGGGAGGCAGCAGUGGGGAAUAUUGGACAAUGGGCGAAAGCCUGAUCCAGCCAUACCGCGUGGGUGAAGAAGGCCUUCGGGUUGUAAAGCCCUUUUGUUGGGAAAGAAAAGAAGCAGGUUAAUACCCCGCUGUUCUGACGGUACCCAAAGAAUAAGCACCGGCUAACUUCGUG